UAGCACAAGGCUGCAGAACCAACCAAUCCCCGACUACUGAUACUCUCCUCCGCCUAACGGAGCUGGUCCUUACCCUCAACAACUUUUCUUUUGACUCCUUCCAUUUCCGUCAAAUCCAAGGCGUAGCUAUGGGCACGUGCAGAGGCC
This is a long non-coding RNA of Amblyraja radiata (thorny skate), 147 nucleotides long. RefSeq lists it as uncharacterized. NCBI's taxonomy places the organism in Eukaryota, Metazoa, Chordata, Chondrichthyes, Rajiformes, Rajidae. The transcript is spliced from 3 exons. The record is from RefSeq and is a predicted model, not a curated record.